RNAcentral lists this ribosomal RNA (253 nucleotides) under uncultured bacterium. RNAcentral's name for it is "partial 16S ribosomal RNA". It matches the Rfam family "Bacterial small subunit ribosomal RNA", at positions 524 to 776 of the family's 1533-position model. The record is from RNAcentral.
GACGAACCGUACGAACGUUAUUCGGAAUCACUGGGCUUAAAGGGUGCGUAGGCGGCGCGACAAGUUGGGUGUGAAAUCCCUCGGCUCAACCGAGGAACUGCGCCCAAAACUGUCGUGCUCGAGGGAGACAGAGGUGAGCGGAACUUAGGGUGGAGCGGUGAAAUGCGUUGAUAUCCUAAGGAACACCGGUGGCGAAAGCGGCUCACUGGGCCUCUUCUGACGCUGAGGCACGAAAGCUAGGGUAGCGAACGGG